RNAcentral lists this transfer RNA (64 nucleotides) under Polistes jokahamae. RNAcentral describes it as "tRNA-Cys". The record is from RNAcentral. Lineage: Eukaryota; Metazoa; Arthropoda; Insecta; Hymenoptera; Vespidae.
AUUUUAAUAGUUUAUAAUAAAAUAUUAAAUUGCAAAUUUAAAGAAAAUAGUUUAUUUUAAAAUU